CCUACGGGAGGCAGCAGUGGGGAAUAUUGGACAAUGGGCGAAAGCCUGAUCCAGCCAUGCCGCGUGAGUGAUGAAGGCCUUAGGGUUGUAAAGCUCUUUUAUCCGGGAAGAUAAUGACUGUACCGGAAGAAUAAGCCCCGGCUAACUUCGUGCCAGCAGCCGCGGUAAUACGAAGGGGGCUAGCGUUGCUCGGAAUCACUGGGCGUAAAGGGCGCGUAGGCGGAUGAUUAAGUCGGAGGUGAAAGCCCAGGGCUCAACCCUGGAAUUGCCUUCGAUACUGAUCGUCUCGAGAAUGGAAGAGGUAAGUGGAAUACCGAGUGUAGAGGUGAAAUUCGUAGAUAUUCGGUGGAACACCAGUGGCGAAGGCGACUUACUGGUCCAUUUCUGACGCUGAGGCGCGAAAGCGUGGGGAUCAAACAGGAUUAGAUACCCUGGUAGUCCACGCCGUAAACGAUGAAUGCCAGCCGUUGGGGAGCUUGCUCUUCAGUGGCGCAGCUACGUACUUAGUACAUCCGUCCGUGGGUAGGUACGGUCGCGAGAAGUAAACUACGAAAGAAGUAAGUACGGCGUUGAGACGUUGCGACGGACGACGACGAGGGAGGAGG
RNAcentral lists this ribosomal RNA (605 nucleotides) under uncultured bacterium. Its description in RNAcentral is "bacterial SSU rRNA". The stretch from base 1 to 517 matches the Rfam family "Bacterial small subunit ribosomal RNA", at positions 338 to 873 of the family's 1533-position model. The record is from RNAcentral.